This 547-nucleotide ribosomal RNA is filed under the name uncultured Scutellospora. Its description in RNAcentral is "SSU rRNA". It matches the Rfam family "Eukaryotic small subunit ribosomal RNA", at positions 548 to 1098 of the family's 1831-position model. The record is from RNAcentral. Lineage: Eukaryota; Fungi; Glomeromycota; Glomeromycetes; Diversisporales; Gigasporaceae.
UUGGAGGGCAAGUCUGGUGCCAGCAGCCGCGGUAAUUCCAGCUCCAAUAGCGUAUAUUAAAGUUGUUGCAGUUAAAAAGCUCGUGGUUGAAUUUCGGGAUUUUACCGUUGGUCGGGCUAUCCAGUCUGUACUAGCGUGUAGAAUUUCUACCUUCUGGGGAACCAUCAUGUUAUUUAUUUAGCGUGGUGGGAAACCAGGACCUUUACCUUGAAAAAAUUAGAGUGUUCAAAGCAGGCUUACGUCUGAAUACAUUAGCAUGGAAUAAUAAAAUAGGACGGUGGUCCUGUUUUGUUGGUUUCUGAAUCACCGUAAUGAUUAAUAGGGAUAGUUGGGGGCAUUAGUAUUCAAUUGUCAGAGGUGAAAUUCUUGGAUUUAUUGAAGACUAACUUCUGCGAAAGCAUUUGCCAAGGAUGUUUUCAUUAAUCAAGAACGAAAGUUAGGGGAUCGAAGACGAUCAGAUACCGUCGUAGUCUUAACCAUAAACUAUGCCGACUAGGGAUCGGACGAUGUUAAAUAUUAUUGACUCGUUCGGCGCCUUACGGGAAAC